Long non-coding RNA from Toxotes jaculatrix (banded archerfish), 711 nucleotides. RefSeq lists it as uncharacterized. Lineage: Eukaryota; Metazoa; Chordata; Actinopteri; Toxotidae. The transcript is spliced from 3 exons. The record is from RefSeq and is a predicted model, not a curated record.
ACAACAGUAUAAACAUGUAUACUUGUUAAAGCAAGAGAAACCAGCUAGGUAAAUUCAUCAUAACACUCUUGUGUAAAUCGUACAACCUAUAAGGGUUUCCAUAGGACAAUGCACAUGCUCAGAAGCUGACUGUUUGGUAUUUUAUUUUGAAAUUGUAACCUCAUGUCAUGUGACCAAAAUUCGGCCAGGUAGACGGACCGUGGAAUUGUGGGAGCCAGCAGGGACGCCGAAGAGGAAACACGUACCAAAGACGCCAAGAUGCGCACAUGGUCUUCCCUACAUUUCUGAGCUUGAGGACCAGACAUUGCAUUUGUUUGUGGCUCUUCAGUAGUGGCAGCGGUACCAGGAAGUAUUUCCAGGCGAGAGACUCUUGCCCAAACACCACUUUCUGGAGCACUACCCAGAAAUUCUGAAGCGGUUUGGCCCCAUUGAAAAUUUUUGGACAGUGCCUUUGAGGUGACACAUGUCUCGUCAGUUCCUGUCAGGAAAGAGGAUGCAGUGCUUCAUCAACAACAAAAAUAUCCUGAUCUCACAAUAGUUACUUUAACACAGUGUCUCCACAAUAUAGAAAUGGAAUGAUUAUUGUGCAUGGAUCAGUAGGUGGAUUGCCUGAAUUUGUGAAGAUACUUCAAAUGUGUAUAUUGGAAAAUACAUUGAUCUUCAUUGGUGAUGAGUGAUGGACUGUACUUCUGAACUCUGUGAGUUAUUGAA